GUGACGAAGCGACGCCGCGUGCGGGGAGAAGGCCUUCGGGUUGUAAACCGCUGUCGGGAGUUAGGAAGUGCAAGGAUGUUAAUAGCGUUCUUGCUUGACUAAGGCUCCGGAGGAAGCCACGGCUAACUCUGUGCCAGCAGCCGCGGUAAUACAGAGGCGGCAAGCGUUGUUCGGAAUUAUUGGGCGUAAAGAGCACGUAGGCGGCUGUGUAAGUCGGUUGUGAAAGCCUUCCGCUUAACGGAAGAACGGCAUCCGAUACUGCAUAGCUUGAGUGCGGGAGGGGAGAGUGGAACUUCUGGUGGAGCGGUGAAAUGCGUAGAUAUCAGAAGGAACACCGGCGGCGAAGGCGACUCUCUGGUCCGUAACUGACGCUGAGUGUGCGAAAGCUAGGGGAGCAAACGGGAUUAGAUACCCCGGUAGUC
This 422-nucleotide ribosomal RNA is filed under the name uncultured Candidatus Brocadia sp. RNAcentral's name for it is "bacterial SSU rRNA". It matches the Rfam family "Bacterial small subunit ribosomal RNA", at positions 383 to 795 of the family's 1533-position model. Lineage: Bacteria; Pseudomonadati; Planctomycetota; Candidatus Brocadiia; Candidatus Brocadiales; Candidatus Brocadiaceae. The record is from RNAcentral.